AAUCAGUUUUUUGCGCGCAUCAAUCAAAACACAAUGAACGGUGUCAAAACGAUCGUAUACUGACUCUAUAUAGUAGGUCGUAUAUACCUCAAAACUACCGUAUAAAUAUAAAUAAUUAUCGUAUAUAUGGCAAUACUGGUUCAGGCAGAGCUGCACGCGUAUGGAUAAAGGUGGUGCUUGUAUGUAUUUUGUAUUUAGUGAAGGUUCGGUGUUUAAACUAACUAAAUAAACCUUAACCUAAAUAUCUACUAACACUUUCCCUCAAUUUAAUUUAAUUAGUAACAAUGGUAAUGACGUUUUCAAUUCCCUCCUUUCAAUGACCCCAAAGUGUAAGAAGUGAUUUGGACCGUUUAUAAAGCUUCCGACAUGUUAAAACCUGCUCGUUUAAUAUACCGACGCAACUGAGCAGCGCAGCACGUCACGUCACAUAACGGCACCUCGCUCGCGUUGUUUACGGGAUCGUAUCGAGCCAAAAGACGAAAAAAAGGGAGGAGCUGUAUCCAUCUGAUUAAGCUGGAAGACACAGAACAGAUGUAAACAGACUGUCACCAGGUCAGACCACAGGGGUCAAUAGAAGACGUACAGCCUCCUUGUGUGUAACCUGCACCCGACAAGACUCCUGCAGCAGGCUGCACAAAUGGGGCCUCCAUGGUGCCUUAAUGAAAGCUUCACAUUAGCCGAACGACCUGGUAAUGUGUCUGAACAUGCUGGUAACACAGCACGUGGUUGUUUGGGUUGGCUGUCAUAGCAGGUAAAGUAGUCAGGACCGCAGCUCCCAGAAAAUCCAGUAACUUAGUAUUGUAACGAGAACGAGUUUCAAGUCUUACUUUUUUUCAGUUUAU
Molecule: long non-coding RNA, 842 nt
Filed under: Betta splendens (Siamese fighting fish)
Lineage: Eukaryota; Metazoa; Chordata; Actinopteri; Anabantiformes; Osphronemidae
Description: lncRNA (ENSBSLG00000023640.1)
Source: RNAcentral